GACGAACGCUGGCGGCGCGCCUAAUACACGCAAGUAGAACGCUGAAGAGAGGAGCUUGCUCUUCUGGAUGAGUUGCGAACGGGUGAGUAACGCGUAGGUAACCUGCCUUGUAGCGGGGGAUAACUAUUGGAAACGAUAGCUAAUACCGCAUAACAAUAGGUGACACAUGUCAUUUAUUUGAAAGGGGCAAUUGCUCCACUACAAGAUGGACCUGCGUUGUAUUAGCUAGUAGGUGAGGUAACGGCUCACCUAGGCGACGAUACAUAGCCGACCUGGGAGGGUGAUCGGCCACACUGGGACUGAGACACGGCCCAGACUCCUACGGGAGGCAGCAGUAGGGAAUCUUCGGCAAUGGGGGCAACCCUGACCGAGCAACGCCGCGUGAGUGAAGAAGGUUUUCGGAUCGUAAAGCUCUGUUGUAAGUCAAGAACGAGUGUGAGAGUGGAAAGUUCACACUGUGACGGUAGCUUACCAGAAAGGGACGGCUAACUACGUGCCAGCAGCCGCGGUAAUACGUAGGUCCCGAGCGUUGUCCGGAUUUAUUGGGCGUAAAGCGAGCGCAGGCGGUUUGAUAAGUCUGAAGUUAAAGGCUGUGGCUCAACCAUAGUUCGCUUUGGAAACUGUCAAACUUGAGUGCAGAAGGGGAGAGUGGAAUUCCAUGUGUAGCGGUGAAAUGCGUAGAUAUAUGGAGGAACACCGGUGGCGAAAGCGGCUCUCUGGUCUGUAACUGACGCUGAGGCUCGAAAGCGUGGGGAGCGAACAGG
Molecule: ribosomal RNA, 764 nt
Filed under: uncultured Streptococcus sp.
Lineage: Bacteria; Bacillati; Bacillota; Bacilli; Lactobacillales; Streptococcaceae
Description: bacterial SSU rRNA
Rfam family: Bacterial small subunit ribosomal RNA
Source: RNAcentral